UGGAAUGUAGGAUAGUUUGGCAAUCCGCCUGGUUUGGGACCAGGACAUCGCACGUUCAAAUCGUGUCAUUCCAA
Molecule: transfer RNA, 74 nt
Filed under: Anaerobutyricum hallii
Lineage: Bacteria; Bacillati; Bacillota; Clostridia; Lachnospirales; Lachnospiraceae
Also listed under: 10 other names
Description: tRNA-Pro
Source: RNAcentral